UACAUGUAUGAUUGUAAGUCACUUUGUAUAAAAGCAUCUGCUAAAUGACAUAUA
This is a non-coding RNA of Salmo salar (Atlantic salmon), 54 nucleotides long. Lineage: Eukaryota; Metazoa; Chordata; Actinopteri; Salmoniformes; Salmonidae. The record is from Rfam.